RNAcentral lists this ribosomal RNA (505 nucleotides) under Pestalotiopsis sp. 97_301. RNAcentral describes it as "eukaryotic LSU rRNA". The stretch from base 128 to 281 matches the Rfam family "5.8S ribosomal RNA". Lineage: Eukaryota; Fungi; Ascomycota; Sordariomycetes; Amphisphaeriales; Sporocadaceae. The record is from RNAcentral.
CUCCAACCAUGUGACUUACCUUUUGUUGCCUCGGCAGAAGGUUAUAGGUCUUCUUAUAGCUGCUGCCGGUGGACCAUUAAACUCUUGUUAUUUUAUGUAAUCUGAGCGUCUUAUUUUAAUAAGUCAAAACUUUCAACAACGGAUCUCUUGGUUCUGGCAUCGAUGAAGAACGCAGCGAAAUGCGAUAAGUAAUGUGAAUUGCAGAAUUCAGUGAAUCAUCGAAUCUUUGAACGCACAUUGCGCCCAUUAGUAUUCUAGUGGGCAUGCCUGUUCGAGCGUCAUUUCAACCCUUAAGCCUAGCUUAGUGUUGGGAAUCUACUUCUCUUAGGAGUUGUAGUUCCUGAAAUACAACGGCGGAUUUGUAGUAUCCUCUGAGCGUAGUAAUUUUUUUCUCGCUUUUGUUAGGUGCUAUAACUCCCAGCCGCUAAACCCCCAAUUUUUUUGUGGUUGACCUCGGAUCAGGUAGGAAUACCCGCUGAACUUAAGCAUAUCAAUAAGCGGAGGA